CCCUUAGAUGUUCUGGGCUGCACGCGCGCUACACUGAUGCGCUCAACGAGUUUUAACCUUGCCUGGAAAGGUUGGGUAAUCUUUUUAAAACGCAUCGUGAUGGGGAUAGAUUAUUGCAAUUAUUAAUCUUCAACGAGGAAUUCCUAGUAAGCGCGAGUCAUCAGCUCGUGCUGAUUACGUCCCUGCCCUUUGUACACACCGCCCGUCGCUCCUACCGAUUGAAUGAUCCGAUGAAUAUCAUGGAUUGAGGAUGCAAGUAGGUUCGCCUAUCUUCAUCUUCGAGAAGUGAAGUAAAUCUUAUCAUUUAGAGGAAGGAGAAGUCGUAACA
Molecule: ribosomal RNA, 328 nt
Filed under: uncultured eukaryote
Lineage: Eukaryota
Description: partial 18S ribosomal RNA
Rfam family: Eukaryotic small subunit ribosomal RNA
Source: RNAcentral